GACGAACGCUGGCGGCGUGCUUAACACAUGCAAGUCGAACGAAGAGCGACGGAAGCUUGCUUCUAUCAAUCUUAGUGGCGAACGGGUGAGUAACGCGUAAUCAACCUGCCCUUCAGAGGGGGACAACAGUUGGAAACGACUGCUAAUACCGCAUACGGUCUAAUCUCGGCAUCGAGGAUGGAUGAAAGGUGGCCUCUACAUGUAAGCUAUCACUGAAGGAGGGGAUUGCGUCUGAUUAGCUAGUUGGAGGGGUAACGGCCCACCAAGGCGAUGAUCAGUAGCCGGUCUGAGAGGAUGAACGGCCACAUUGGGACUGAGACACGGCCCAGACUCCUACGGGAGGCAGCAGUGGGGAAUCUUCCGCAAUGGACGAAAGUCUGACGGAGCAACGCCGCGUGAGUGAUGACGGCCUUCGGGUUGUAAAGCUCUGUUAAUCGGGACGAAAGGCCUUCUUGCGAAUAGUGAGAAGGAUUGACGGUACCGGAAUAGAAAGCCACGGCUAACUAUGUG
Molecule: ribosomal RNA, 510 nt
Filed under: uncultured bacterium
Lineage: Bacteria
Description: partial 16S ribosomal RNA
Rfam family: Bacterial small subunit ribosomal RNA
Source: RNAcentral